Molecule: ribosomal RNA, 479 nt
Filed under: uncultured bacterium
Lineage: Bacteria
Description: bacterial SSU rRNA
Rfam family: Bacterial small subunit ribosomal RNA
Source: RNAcentral
AUUGAACGCUGGCGGCAUGCUUUACACAUGCAAGUCGAACGGCAGCACGGGGGCAACCCUGGUGGCGAGUGGCGAACGGGUGAGUAACACAUCGGAACGUGUCCAGUUGUGGGGGAUAACCCAUCGAAAGGUGGGCUAAUACCGCAUGAGCUGGCAACAGGAAAGCGGGGGACCCGCAAGGGCCUUGUGCGAUUGGAGCGGCCGAUGUCCGAUUAGCUAGUUGGUGGGGUAAAGGCCUACCAAGGCUUCGAUCGGUAGCUGGUCUGAGAGGAUGAUCAGCCACACUGGGACUGAGACACGGCCCAGACUCCUACGGGAGGCAGCAGUGGGGAAUUUUGGACAAUGGGGGCAACCCUGAUCCAGCCAUGCCGCGUGAGUGAUGAAGGCCUUAGGGUUGUAAAGCCCUUUUACCGGGACGAUGAUGACGGUACCCGGAGAAUAAGCCCCGGCUAACUUCGUGCCAGCAGCCGCCGCAGUAA